ACAAAAUGCAGCAUAAAUUAUUUUUACGUAUUUCUACGCUUAGUUCAAAAUUCAGCGUUUUUUCCACUGCGCGCUGCUUUGGCAAAGAUGCAGAUACAACUUGCCAGGAUAAGUCAGAAGAUAAAUCAGCGCGCAGCUGCAAGCGCACACGAAAGGCAAGAAAAUGCACUAAGAAGUCUGCACCCUAUCCAAGUUUCUCAGAGUGCAAAAAGAAGCCUUCGGAGCCAAAGUCUCCAAGUGAAUGCGAUUGCUUGAAAAUUGAUAAAUAAUAUUAAGACUAUUCGCUAUACAGAAUGUUCAAGUUUCUUUACAAUCUUAAGCUAUCGCCAAAGCACACGCUGCUUAGUUCCAAAAGACGACAACAUUUUACUGAGGCGCGACAUUUGCCAGUUGUGGGCAGGCGGCAUGACAAAGUUAAUAUGCCCAUUAAUACUUUGCCCAUAAGAAAAUAUUCAAGUCUGAAGAGCCAGCCAAUGCUGCAUGAGGACGAUAUAGUGAUAAUGCCACGAUUUUUACGCACAGGCGACUGGUUAUAUAAUGAGCAAUGGAACGCACGACUUGAGGAACUUGAUGUCGUCUGAGCUUACUAACUAACUAAAUUAAAAUGGCGAAUACAAAUUGCAUGAAUGAAAUUCUUAGUUUAAUAAACCAAACGUAACUUUCUCUAUA
Long non-coding RNA from Drosophila busckii, 669 nucleotides. RefSeq lists it as uncharacterized. NCBI's taxonomy places the organism in Eukaryota, Metazoa, Arthropoda, Insecta, Diptera, Drosophilidae. The transcript has 2 exons. The record is from RefSeq and is a predicted model, not a curated record.